RNAcentral lists this microRNA precursor (124 nucleotides) under Pelobates cultripes (western spadefoot toad). The record is from RNAcentral. Lineage: Eukaryota; Metazoa; Chordata; Amphibia; Anura; Pelobatidae.
UCUGAGCUGUCUGCUCAGCUCCCUCACGCGCCGCACAGUGAGGCUGGGAGCCGGAAUAUGACGUCAUAUUCCGGCUCCCAGCCUCACUCUGCGGCGUGCGAGGGAGCUGAGCGGACAGCUCAGA